This 619-nucleotide ribosomal RNA is filed under the name uncultured bacterium. RNAcentral describes it as "bacterial SSU rRNA". It matches the Rfam family "Bacterial small subunit ribosomal RNA", at positions 61 to 669 of the family's 1533-position model. The record is from RNAcentral.
GUCGAGCGGUAACAGAAAGUAGCUUGCUACUUUGCUGACGAGCGGCGGACGGGUGAGUAAUGCCUGGGAAUAUGCCUUGAUGUGGGGGAUAACUAUUGGAAACGAUAGCUAAUACCGCAUAAUGUCUUCGGACCAAAGAGGGGGAUCUUCGGACCUCUCGCGUCAAGAUUAGCCCAGGUGAGAUUAGCUAGUUGGUGGGGUAAGAGCUCACCAAGGCGACGAUCUCUAGCUGGUCUGAGAGGAUGAUCAGCCACACUGGAACUGAGACACGGUCCAGACUCCUACGGGAGGCAGCAGUGGGGAAUAUUGCACAAUGGGCGAAAGCCUGAUGCAGCCAUGCCGCGUGUAUGAAGAAGGCCUUCGGGUUGUAAAGUACUUUCAGUCGUGAGGAAGGGUGUGCAGUUAAUAGCUGUACAUCUUGACGUUAGCGACAGAAGAAGCACCGGCUAACUCCGUGCCAGCAGCCGCGGUAAUACGGAGGGUGCGAGCGUUAAUCGGAAUUACUGGGCGUAAAGCGCAUGCAGGUGGUUCAUUAAGUCAGAUGUGAAAGCCCGGGGCUCAACCUCGGAACCGCAUUUGAAACUGGUGAACUAGAGUGCUGUAGAGGGGGGUAGAAUUU